UGGGGAAUCUUGCGCAAUGGACGAAAGUCUGACGCAGCCAUGCCGCGUGAGUGAAGAAGGCCUUCGGGUUGUAAAGCUCUGUCGAGUGGGAAGAAAGGGUCAAGGUUAACAGCCUUGAAAGUUGACGGUACCACUAAAGGAAGCACCGGCUAACUCUGUGCCAGCAGCCGCGGUAAUACAGAGUGUGCAAGCGUUGCUCGGAAUCAUUGGGCGUAAAGGGUGUGUAGGCGGUCUCAUUUGUCUGAUGUGAAAGCCCUGGGCUUAACCCGGGAAGUGCAUCGGAAACGGUGGGACUCGAGUACUGGAGAGGUAAGCAGAAUUCCCGGUGUAGCGGUGAAAUGCGUAGAGAUCGGGAGGAAUACCAGCGGCGAAGGCGGCUUACUGGACAGUGACUGACGCUGAAACACGAAAGCGUGGGUAGCAAACAGG
Molecule: ribosomal RNA, 429 nt
Filed under: uncultured bacterium
Lineage: Bacteria
Description: bacterial SSU rRNA
Rfam family: Bacterial small subunit ribosomal RNA
Source: RNAcentral